GAUGAACGCUGGCGGCGUGCCUAAUACAUGCAAGUCGAGCGAACAGACGAGGAGCUUGCUCCUCUGACGUUAGCGGCGGACGGGUGAGUAACACGUGGAUAACCUACCUAUAAGACUGGGAUAACUUCGGGAAACCGGAGCUAAUACCGGAUAAUAUAUUGAACCGCAUGGUUCAAUAGUGAAAGACGGUUUUGCUGUCACUUAUAGAUGGAUCCGCGCCGCAUUAGCUAGUUGGUAAGGUAACGGCUUACCAAGGCAACGAUGCGUAGCCGACCUGAGAGGGUGAGCGGCCACACUGGAACUGAGAACGGGCCCGGACCCCAAGGGGAGGAACAAGGAGGAAUUCUUCAGAAAGGGGAGAAGGCUGGAGGGAGAACCGCCGGGGGAGUAAAAAAGGUCUGCGGAUCUAAAAACUUUUUUAUUAGGGAAAAAAAAAUGUGUAAGUAACUAGGCACGUCUUGACGGUCCCUAAUCAGAAAGCCACGGCUAGCUACGUC
Molecule: ribosomal RNA, 497 nt
Filed under: uncultured bacterium
Lineage: Bacteria
Description: partial 16S ribosomal RNA
Rfam family: Bacterial small subunit ribosomal RNA
Source: RNAcentral